RNAcentral lists this ribosomal RNA (374 nucleotides) under uncultured Nitrospirota bacterium. Its description in RNAcentral is "bacterial SSU rRNA". It matches the Rfam family "Bacterial small subunit ribosomal RNA", at positions 521 to 896 of the family's 1533-position model. Lineage: Bacteria; Pseudomonadati; Nitrospirota. The record is from RNAcentral.
UAAGACAGAGGUGGCAAGCGUUGUUCGGAUUUACUGGGCGUAAAGGGUGCGUAGGCGGUUGGAUAAGAUGUGCGAGAAAGCUCACGGCUUAACCGUGAAAGUUCGUACAUAACUAUUUGACUAGAGAAUGGGAGAGGAAAGCGGAAUUCCCGGUGGAGCGGUGAAAUGCGUAGAUAUCGGGAGGAAGGCCUGUGGCGAAGGCGGCUUUCUGGAACAUUUCUGACGCUGAAGUACGAGAGCGUGGGGAGCAAACAGGAUUAGAUACCCUGGUAGUCCACGCCGUAAACGAUGGGCACUAAGUGUCGGCAGGUUUCCUGUCGGUGCCGCAGCAAACGCAUUAAGUGCCCCGCCUGGGGAGUACGGCCGCAAGGUUG